Non-coding RNA from Ictidomys tridecemlineatus (thirteen-lined ground squirrel), 2440 nucleotides. The record is from RefSeq and is a predicted model, not a curated record. Lineage: Eukaryota; Metazoa; Chordata; Mammalia; Rodentia; Sciuridae.
ACACUAUUCUUUUUUUUAAUUGAAAAAGAAUAGAAUUUUAUUAGGCUCACAUUCUGGAGGCACUAAGAACAUAGUGCUGGUCUCUGGUAAAGGUCUUCCUAAUGGCAUGAUAACAUCUCGGAGGGCAUCAUGUACUGAUGGAGCCAGCAUGCUAGCUAAGUUCUCUGUUCCUGUAAAGCCACUAAUGCCAUCCUAAUGACCUCAUCUAAUCCUCAUUAUCUCCCAAAAGUACCACUUCUAAAUACCAUAUGAAUUAGGGAAUUAAGUGUCUAACACAUGAAAUUUUAGGGAACAUAUUCAAACCAUACAAUAAUAGAGGGACCAGCUCAGUCAAAUACCAUGUUACUUAAUAUUACAAAGUUUAUUUCUAAAGCUCAUAAAAUAUAAAAUCUUCUGGUAGGCAGGUCACACUUUCAUAAUUGCAAAUUACCUGUGACUGGAAGAGUUAUUUAUGUAAACGUAUCCAGUGGGUGAAUUUUUAAGGGUCAAAAACAGGAGUGCAGACUGACUUUUUACUGAAUUCUAAAUUGUCUGUAGGCCUUACUGAAUGUAUAGUGUUUCUAAACAUAUAAGCAUCCCAAUCUUCUCUUGUCUUAAUGUCUUUCCUAGGUACUAUCCCAAAGGAAAGAUGUGAACCCUGGCAUAGCUUUCUUAUUUGAACUCUUUCUCCUUCGUGGGAAACAUGCCUGCCUUGGCCAGGCUGUGGGCUGGGCAGUCUUUCCCCUGUGUGAUAACAACUUGGACGUAGUGGAAGGAAAAUUCAAGUGUCCCCUUCUCCGAGGACAUUAUGACCGGAAAUCCAGAAGUUUUAGGAAAAUUGAAGAUUUGAUUUGCCUGGACUUGGACCACUGGCUGUGCAAUCUCUAUUAUCAGGUUUAUGUAUGGGGAGCUGACUCAUAAAGACACAAUUGAAAAGGUGUGGCAAACCUUUGAGAAAUAUAAGAUGAAUUCCUAUGAAAUUCUGAUGUACAAGACAAACAAAGCCCUAAAGGAUAUCACAGAAGUAGAAGUUGUGGAUGAGAAAAUGAGGAGAAGAUAGAACCAGAAAAGUGGCCAAUCCAAGGCCCUUCUCCCAGAAGUAUUCCACAGACUUCUCUCAGCUGAUGGAUUGUCCAGAGUUUGUGCAAGGACAAGCCUUUUGCUCACAUGCAGUCAGGGUGAUGAUCUACUGAUGCCCUGGAUGUCAUCCGAUGGAGAUGUUCAGUAUAGCAGGUGGCCCACUGAAAUGCAUUGUAAAUACUGGAACAAAUGGUGCUAUAGAGAUGGAAGCCACCAGACUGUCUUCUGUGUGAGAAUAUCCACUUCUGACCUCUGGGCUGCAUGACAGUGGAGAUGACCACCUGUGUCACUACCUGAGACACAGCUGAGAACCCCUGCUGACUUUCCAGGAGCUGCCUGUUCUUUUCUGUGUGGCUGGACUUAGACAGCAUGGCUACUUUUAUUUGAGGGGGAAGCUAAUUGUUAUCACUGUAGAAAUACUUAAAGGUUCUGUCUUUUGUUUCCAGGCAUAUGUACUUGUAUCCAAGUCAAUAAAGCAGAGACAGAAAGGAAUGUGUAGCAUUUCUCAGCUUUCCAGGCCUUUGGCUCUUGAUCUGCCCUUUGCCAUGGUGAACAUUGCAUAACUCACAUGUUAAGAUGUUUCAAUGGACUGUAAGAUUUAUUAAUGUGGUCAUUUAAGGGGUAAGAAAUUAAAUAAAUAAGCAAGGGUAUUUUUCCAAUAUUCUUUAAAAUGUAUUUUUGAUACAUCAGUAUAAAUCCUGCCCAUCAGAAAAAGCAUUAAUGAUGGAGAGUUUCACAGAAUUUUUUUAUCUCAUAUUUCUUUGUCAGCCAUGUACUUCUAAUUGCAGCAAGCAACUUGGGCAAGUGUUUUAAAAAGUUGAAGAAAUGUGUCAUUGUGUGGCUGCUUGUUUUUUAUAGAUAUAGUGGCUGAUUGUAAAAGUUAAAGUUAUUUAUUAUGUAAACUUGGGUUCAACAUGCCAUUUUUAACCAGCUUAUGAAGAAUCAUUGGUAAGAUGGAUAAUAUAGAAAAUACUUUUUCCACAGGAUAGUUAAUUUAGGUCAGUCAAGUUGGUGGUGCCUGUCCAUUAAUAUUUAUGUAUUGUUAAUAAAAUUACAAGAAUAAAAUCAUAAAAAAGAGUCAAUCUGGUCAACUUUAUGCUGAAAAAUUUUGAAUCAUGUAUCUAUUUAAAGAUUUCACCAGAAGCCAAAACUACAAAUGGUGCAUGAAAGCUAUGUAGAUGACUGUUCUUUCUAAUAAUGUGUAUCUUUGUGAUGCAUACAGAUAGACAAGCAGAUUUUUGAGAAUGGGUUAGUUCAGAAAUAGCACUGAUAAAACCAGAUUUUUUUGUAUGUAGGCUAACAAAAACAAAAUUCAGGCAUAUGUUAGAAACCAUUAGACUUCCAAAAUUCUGAAGGCAAGAAUUAAGGAUGUUGAGCCAUU